Molecule: ribosomal RNA, 515 nt
Filed under: uncultured bacterium
Lineage: Bacteria
Description: partial 16S ribosomal RNA
Rfam family: Bacterial small subunit ribosomal RNA
Source: RNAcentral
GAUGAACGCUGGCGGCGUGCCUAAUACAUGCAAGUCGAGCGAAUGGAUUAAGAGCUUGCUCUUAUGAAGUUAGCGGCGGACGGGUGAGUAACACGUGGGUAACCUGCCCAUAAGACUGGGAUAACUCCGGGAAACCGGGGCUAAUACCGGAUAACAUUUUGAACCGCAUGGUUCGAAAUUGAAAGGCGGCUUCGGCUGUCACUUAUGGAUGGACCCGCGUCGCAUUAGCUAGUUGGUGAGGUAACGGCUCACCAAGGCAACGAUGCGUAGCCGACCUGAGAGGGUGAUCGGCCACCCUGGGACUGAGACACGGCCCAGACUCCUACGGGAGGCAGCAGUAGGGAAUCUUCCGCAAUGGACGAAAGUCUGACGGGGCAACGCCGCGUGAGUGAUGAAGGCUUUCGGGUCGUAAAACUCUGUUGUUAGGGAAGAACAAGUGCUAGUUGAAUAAGCUGGCACCUUGACGGUACCUAACCAGAAAGCCACGGCUAACUACGUGCCAGCCGCCGCAGUAA